CGCCUGGGGAGUGCGGCCGCAAGGUUAAAACUCAAAUGAAUUGACGGGGACCCGCACAAGUAGUGGAGCAUGUGGUUUAAUUCGAAGAUACGCGCAGAACCUUACCAACACUUGACAUGUUCGUGCGACCUAAGAGAUUAGGUUUUCGGUUCGCCGGACGAAACACAGGUGCUGCAUGGCUGUCGUCAGCUCGUGUCGUGAGAUGUUGGGUUAAGUCCCGCAACGAGCGCAACACUUACUUUUAGUCGCCAUCAUUUAUUGGGCACUCUGAAAGAACUGCCAGUGAUAAGCUGGAGGAAGGUGGGGAUGACGCCAAGUCCUCAUGGCCCUUACGUGUUGGGCUACACACGUGCUACAAUGGCAUUUACAAUAGGAAGCAAGAUGGCGACAUCAAGCAAAUCCUAAAAAAAUGCCUCAGUUCGGAUUGUACUCUGCAACUCGAGUACAUGAAGCUGGAAUUACUAGUAAUCGCGGAUCAGGCGCCGCGGUGAAUGCGUUCCUGGGUCUUGAACACACCGCCCGUC
This 524-nucleotide ribosomal RNA is filed under the name uncultured Desulfuromonadales bacterium. RNAcentral's name for it is "bacterial SSU rRNA". It matches the Rfam family "Bacterial small subunit ribosomal RNA", at positions 870 to 1398 of the family's 1533-position model. Lineage: Bacteria; Pseudomonadati; Thermodesulfobacteriota; Desulfuromonadia; Desulfuromonadales. The record is from RNAcentral.